UUUCCGUAGGUGAACCUGCGGAAGGAUCAUUCAUAAUAAAGUGUUUUAUGGCACUUUUUAAAAAUCCAUCUCCACCUUGUGUGCAAUGUUAGAUCUCGUCAAUCUUGGCGAGAUUUUUAUACAUCAACUCAUUCUUUAACUAAUUUGUCUGAAAAAUAUUAUGAAUACUUAAUUCAAAAUACAACUCUCAACAACGGAUCUCUUGGCUCUC
This 211-nucleotide unclassified non-coding RNA is filed under the name plant metagenome. RNAcentral's name for it is "partial contains small subunit ribosomal RNA, internal transcribed spacer 1, and 5.8S ribosomal RNA". The record is from RNAcentral.